CCUGAUGGGUGAGGAGGGAGUCAGCAGGUGGCUGGCCUCCUGGCUAGAUGAGCUGAGAAGGGCAAGGGGCAGGGCCUUCUAAUCUCUGACACAGCAGGGCUGGCCUGGACAGUGGCCAAAAGCGGGAGUGGGAAAGCAGUUACCUCGCUACAGAUAAGCACCUGACCCGCUUUCGCUUAUUAGCAUUUCUUGCUGCGUCUGUUUAUUUAACCAAAGCAUCCUGAUCAUCACAACAGCUAUCCAAGCUUGUUGACAUAUUGGAAAUUCAGCCUUCAUGCAGCCUCAGGCUCAGCCAUCCGCCAGCUGUGCCUGGUAUUAAUUAAAACAGUGAGUGAGGAGAACCUGGUUAAUCCUCUGGGGGGAAGGGUGGGACUUAUUGUUCAAGGGGGAUAGGGUUUCAGCUUGCAGGCUGCACUAGUUUGCUUUUCAGAGUUCCAAAAGGGCAUUUGUGGUGGCACCACUGUGCCCAGUGCCUUUGCUGGCUUCCUGAGCUUUCCAGAAUAUUGAGGUGUGUGUGCAGGUAUGCUCGAUUGUGUGCACGAGACCUGCAUGUGCGUGAGUGCUCAUGGAAGCCCGUGAGCUGGUGUGUGUGGAUGCACGCGCACGUGCUCGUCUGCAUCUCUCCAGCCCACAGGUCCCAGCACCAAAGGCAGGCACACCCUCAGCUAAUGCACUUGGUGGCCAAACAGGUUCCAGCUGCUUCUUUGUUGCAUUUAAACACCUGGGAAGCUGUACAGCUCACGUGGAUCGCUUGAGACUGAGAGACUCUGCACUGAAGUCCUUGUGGUGAUUAUCACGAGGACUCUGUGAUUUCCCUUGUGAGAACCCCAUGGGCAGGCUGGGAACACUUCGCUGUGAUUGUCGCCAGCUCCUCCCAGAAGGACUCAGGUCACUCCUCCCAGAUGUUGCAGUCUCUUUCAGCUGGAGCACCCGGCUACAGCAGGCUAAACCAUCUCAGACGGCCUUGUAUCUGCAGUAUGGGAAUCUAGCUGCUUUCUACAGCAUCUACAGUGGCCUGUGGCUACAGCAUCUACAGUGACUCAGAUCAUUUUCACAGCUUUUCAGUGCUUUUCUCUCAGAUCAACCAAAGUAUGGGAUAGGAAAUGAUGCAGUGUUAAGUUGGCCCAAUCUCUCACACUAGAUGUUUCAACCAGCAAAGAAGUAUUACUUAAGAAAAUAGAGGGCAAACAUACCAGUUUGCAUUGCCAAAUAAAAACUGUUCCUCCCUUACUGUUCCCUCGGCAUCUUUAGGGACAGGGAUGGCUUUGUGAGAAACAGUUACUUCUCCAGGAGGCAAGAACCCUGGCUUCAGAUAGGAUCUUUGGCAGGAAAUGAAUGGGGGCAUUUCAUAAAUGUGCUUUUCACUCCAAGCCCUGCUCAGAAGGUACAGAGCCAAGCUAACCAGGCCCAUGUGAUGGCUCCAGUUAUGGGUUACAUCAGCCCUCAGUGCCCAGUCUCGUCUCCUGAUGGUAUCUCAUACCCAAGCCUGUGAUCAUAGUGCAGUGUAGGUGCUGUAAUUUCCUCACUAUGCUGCCCUGAGCACAGCUGAUAUUUUCAAUGUUGAGUUCAAGGGCCUAAGGAAGCCCCCGUUGACCACUCCAGACUGUGCUGAGUUCUUUCUCUGAACCUUGAUUGCACCCGGGUCAGCACCUAAAAAUGCGGCUCCUAGCCAGAAGCUGGAAGAGCUAGAAGGGGCCACAGGGACCUCACAAAUCCUGCCACCCACUCCAUCCCCCCAUCACCCAUUCUCUCUUCAGUAUCCCCAAGAAGAAUUGUCCUGCUUCUGAGCACCUGCAUUGGAGGGCACUCAUGACUUCAGGAGGGAGGAGGGAGGUCCUCAGGUAGGUCUUACUGUCAGAAGUGGCUUCACAGCGUUAGAUGUGACCCCUUUAAUUUCCACUCACAGCUCCUGGUUCCACCCCUAAGAGCCACACAAUUGUAACCCUUCCUUCUUCCAUCUGACAACUUCCCCAGGCCCCUUGACAAAUAGCUCCUUUUCCUUCUGUAAUCCCUCCCCUUGCCCCAAUGCCACUGAUUGUCCUCUAGUUAUUUAGCUCCCUUUUCUCACCAAGUGGACUCAGGAGCUGGCUUUUUCUUCCUUUGUGUUCAACAAGUGCCUUCCUUGCUGGCCUCCCGCUCCCAUGUCUUUCUCACCAUAAACCUCAUAUGGGAUUGAGCCCAUAGUCAGCAUCCACCUUGCAGAUGCCCAGCAAACUCAGCACCUUCUGCAGAAGCCACAUCAAAUGCUGGCUCAUAUUUUUCUGAGGCCCUUUGAACAAUGCACGGCCAAUCGAUAAUAUAUCAAGUGCUCUGAUGGCCUCAUAGCAAACACAAAGUCAGGUCAGUCCUGAGUUCUGCAAUCCAUGGUGGAUAAGAGACCCUUGUGCUAGCCCAUAGCACAUGUCCCCCUAAGACUUGAGCCUCAGCAGAGACUCCCCUUCAAACAUCAAUGACCAAAAUUAUGGCUGUUUUCUUGCUGCAGCUUAGAUAGUGGAGGGAUCUUCAGAAUUGCUUAGAGUUGAGCUUUUUU
Molecule: non-coding RNA, 2530 nt
Organism: Sus scrofa (pig)
Lineage: Eukaryota; Metazoa; Chordata; Mammalia; Artiodactyla; Suidae
Source: RefSeq, a predicted model, not a curated record